AAGAUCAUGCAGUGCCAGCAGCCGCGGCAACACUGUAUAAUC
Molecule: ribosomal RNA, 42 nt
Filed under: Theileria orientalis
Lineage: Eukaryota; Apicomplexa; Aconoidasida; Piroplasmida; Theileriidae
Description: 12S ribosomal RNA
Source: RNAcentral